Molecule: unclassified non-coding RNA, 235 nt
Filed under: Mortierella alpina
Lineage: Eukaryota; Fungi; Mortierellomycota; Mortierellomycetes; Mortierellales; Mortierellaceae
Also listed under: 1 other name
Description: partial contains small subunit ribosomal RNA, internal transcribed spacer 1, and 5.8S ribosomal RNA
Source: RNAcentral
UUUCCGUAGGUGAACCUGCGGAAGGAUCAUUCAUAAUCAAGUGUUUUUAUGGCACUUUCAAAAAUCCAUAUCCACCUUGUGUGCAAUGUCAUCUCUCUGGGGGCCGCCGGCUGUCAAAAGCCGUGUGGUCACCUUUGGGAUUUAUAUCUACUCAGAACUUUAGUGAUUUUGUCUGAAACAUAUUAUGAAUACUUAAUUCAAAAUACAACUUUCAACAACGGAUCUCUUGGCUCUC